CCCUUAGAUGUCCUGGGCCGCACGCGCGCUACACUGAUGCAUUCAACGAGCCUAUCCUUGACCGACAGGUCCGGGUAAUCUUUGAAUCUGCAUCGUGACGGGGAUAGAUUAUUGCAAUUAUUAAUCUUCAACGAGGAAUGCCUAGUAGGCGCAAGUCAUCAGCUUGCGUCGAUUACGUCCCUGCCCUUUGUACACACCGCCCGUCGCUCCUACCGAUUGGGUGUGCUGGUGAAAUGUUCGGAUCGGCCGUUUGUCGCGGUUUCCGCGUCAUGUGGCUGAGAAGUUCAUUAAACCCUCCCACCUAGAGGAGGGAGAAGUCGUAACA
RNAcentral lists this ribosomal RNA (325 nucleotides) under uncultured eukaryote. RNAcentral's name for it is "partial 18S ribosomal RNA". It matches the Rfam family "Eukaryotic small subunit ribosomal RNA", at positions 1470 to 1796 of the family's 1831-position model. The record is from RNAcentral.